RNAcentral lists this long non-coding RNA (708 nucleotides) under Setaria italica (foxtail millet). Its description in RNAcentral is "long non-coding RNA (SITA_LNC000056)". Lineage: Eukaryota; Viridiplantae; Streptophyta; Magnoliopsida; Poales; Poaceae. The record is from RNAcentral.
CCAUUUCCAUAUUUUGUCGUCUAGACAAUGGAAGAAAUUAAAGUCAUGGCCUCUGCAUACCAAGGUACACAAAAGCUCAUCCGUAGCCUAAACCUACCACCACACCUGUUAUCUCAAGAUAUCAGUCUGCUCCGUGGCCGUGCAGUCGUGUAUCCAACCAAGAAAAGCUGCCAAACCCUACUGAAUGUUCCGUAGGUUGGCACAUAUAUGCAUAUAAAGUAUAUAUGACACUACUACAGUCUACUUGGUUGGGUCUCUUAGCUUGAGGCAUGUAUUCAUGCAUGUUGGGUUGUUGGGACACAUACAGCGCUGCAGCGGCGUCCUGAGUCACCAUUGUUCAAACAGGAAGCAUAGGACGAAUGGAAUCGCCGUGCCCAGUGCCAGCAAUCAGGCAGCUAGCUUGUUCAAACCGGCAGGGUCCUACGACGUGCCAUUGUUUGCUUUUGUUUGGCAUGCAUCAAUGCAUGGCAUGGUCCAUGAACCCCGUCUUGCAAGUUCGAUUCGUCUCUGCUGGCCUGGCUAGCUAGCUCCCUGCAGACGACCACAUACAAUGCAAUCAUGGAUGAAGGAGAUCGAUAUCAUGGUCAGGGACAACCCGCGUCUAAGGGCUCGUUUGGUGCCGCUCCAUCCAGCUCUGGCUCCUGCACUGUGCGUGGUAGGAGCGUCAGAGGAGCUGAAGCUGGUGGAGCCAAAAUUUGUGGCUCCACC